AGCCCCGGACGCGGGACCUGCCGCGCUACCCUGCAUAAAGAGCGCGGCGCUUCCGUGGCAGAGCGGGCCGGCCCAUCGGCGCCUGGCGCUCGGUUGCCUGGCGGUGUUGUCAAGCGCGGGGCAUGGCGGCAGCCGGCGCUGCGGCCAGGGCGGGGGAUGAGGCGGCCGGAGCGGGCUUGAUAGUCAACUGCUCAGGUCAAGGAUUACAAAAACUGGGUCCAACCUUGCCCUGUGAUGCUGAUACUCAGACACUGAUUCUGGACAAAAAUCAGUUAAUUAAAUUGGAACACUUGGAGAAAUGCAGGAAUCUGAUGCAGCUCUCUGUAGCCAACAACCGUUUGGUGCGAAUGAUGGGUGUAGCAAAACUGACCAAGCUCCGAGUGCUCAGCUUGCCUCAUAAUAGUAUUGGGUACGUGGAAGGGCUGAAGGAUUUGGUGCACCUGGAAUGGCUGAAUUUGGCAGGAAAUAACCUUAAGGUCAUUGAACAAAUAAAUUCCUGUCUCUCUCUUCAGCAUCUUGAUCUGUCAGACAAUAACAUAGCUCAAUUAGGCGAUCUCUCCAAGCUUACCUCACUGAAGACUCUGUUGCUACAUGGUAAUAUUAUAACUUCACUUCGCACUGCCCCUGCUUGCCUACCUCAGAGUUUGACUGUUUUAUCUUUGGCAGAAAAUGAAAUCAGAGACUUAAAUGAGGUUUAUUUCCUGGCCCCUUUUCGCCAGUUGGAACAGCUGUCAAUUAUGAACAACCCUUGUGUGAUGGCCACACCUUCUGUCCCUGGCUUUGACUACAGGCCUUAUAUUGUCAGCUGGUGUCUGAACCUUAAAGUUCUUGAUGGAUAUGUGGUUUCUCAGAAGGAAAGUUUGAAAGGAGAAUGGCUCUACAGUCAAGGGAAAGGAAGGUCCUAUCGACCUGGGCAGCAUGUUCAGCUAGUUCAGUACUUGGCUACUGUUUGUCCUCUCAUAUCUGCAUGUGGACUCCAGACUGAAGAGGAUGCCAAACUGGAAAAAAUACUGAGUAAACAAAGGCUCCACCAGAGGCAGUUGAUGCAUGAAAACCAGAAUGAGGAACCACCUACAUCUGCUCCCAGCAAAACAGUGCCAGUUGCUCAUGAGCACAGUGGCCUGGCCCAGCCAUCACAGAUGGUUCUUGAAAAGGAACCUGUCAUCCAGAGGAAUUCUUGGGUUGGACCAAGUGCAAACAAUGAUCAUUCCUAUGCAGUAAAGAACACUUUUCAUGAAAGAAGCUUUCCCAAGGAGCUACACCUUGAAGAUGUACAGACAGAUGAAGACAAACUAAACAGCAGCCUUUUAUCUUCAGAGUCUACUUUCAUGCCAGUUGCUUCAGGAUUGUCUCCAGUGUCUCCUGCUUCAGAUGUGAAACCACACAGAAUCAAUUUGGGCCUAGAAAAUGAUAACAAUAUAGUGAUAGAAAAUGUGAGAGAUGUUAGUAGUAGGGUAACAGCUAACAAGCAAGAAGCUUUGUCUGUUACAGGAGAGCACCGUAGUAGAGCAGCAGGAAGUGUGGAAACACGAGAGACUAUCAAAGAGAUCCUGCAGGUGCCUGCUCCUGAUCUAGUAACAGCUGGCCUGGCUGCAAAGACUGGCAACUCUUUAGCGGCCUCUGAAGGCCAAGUUUUGCACAGUUAUCCCAGCACCUCGUUAGGGGCUGAAUCAGGAGUAAAAACUCCUUGUCCUGGCCAGAUGACAGAAGAAAGGUCUGGUUCACUGGCUGUGCAAGGUGCGGCACCAGCCGAUCAAGGUGCAGCUGAACUGCAAAGGAUGACUGAAGCAGCUACCAAGCUUCAAGCUUCCUGGAGAGGAUUUUACACGAGGAACCACCAUCCUCAAGCCAAGGAAGUGCGGAAUGAAAUUCGACUAAACAGAAUGCAAGAGCACAUCAUUUACUUAACAGCUGAAGUAGAAAAACUAAGAAAAGAAAGAGAGGAAGAUAAAAUGCAGAGGCUUGUACAGGAGGAAGCUGUCAAAUUUCUUUGGAACCAGGUUAAGUCCCUUCAACAAUGGCAGCUUUCAGUGAUGCAGAAUUUAGGUGGUGCUGGGAUCCCUUCAGCCAGUCCUUUAUGUUCAUCCAAACCACCUGUUCAGUCAUCCACAGUGGAGCAAGAAACCCCACCAGCCGUUAGUUCUGCUUUGUUAGUUCCAGCUAGUGAGGAUGAUCUUCAGGAAAAGUCUUUGUUGCAGUUCCCAGAUUCUGGCUUUCACUCUUCUGCGGCUGAUCAGACUCAUGCCAGUGACCUGUAUAGCUCUGAAAAGAGCUUAGCUGAAGGAACUGAGAGCUCCCUUUCAAUGGAAACCAUCAAACAGUGUGGCAAUUGUGUUUUAGCAUGUUCUUCCGAUGUAGAGGAUGGCCCUGGGGAGUGUGGGCAAAGUAAAGAGAGCUCUAGUAAUGAGCAGGACAAUGGACUGUUACAACAGUAUUUAAAAUCUGUUCAGCAGCUGGAAGAGGCUGAUGAAGACACAGAUUGCAAUGAGGAAAUGGAGGGCAGCUGUCUACAAAUUGCUGUGUCUGCAGAAAGCCAAGAUUCUUCCUCUGACACUGUCUCUGUAGAGCUCCCUCAAGACACAUCUUCCCCUGUCCGAGGUGAAAUCUGUCAGACACCAGAAAGCUACAAACUGAAUUCAGAAAUAGUAGAAGGGAAGCAAACAGACCGUGAUUCUUCGUUUCAGAUGCUGCAUGUUGGGAUAGCUGUAUAAUAGGAUAAUUUCCUCAAAGGACUAGGGAUUCCAUUUCACUUUCUCUUUCUUUUUCCUGUUUAUACAGAACUUUUAUUUUUUAUGUGUGCUGUUUCAGAUUUUGACUCAUGUUACGAAUUUAUGUUGUAAUUACUGUUUUAUUGAUGUUGCUGAGGAUUGAUGCUAACUAUGCUAACCUGAAAUCAGCAAAGUUCUCAGUGGCAAUCAUUAUGCACUUUAUUUUCAAACAUAAAACUGGUAUUCUAAUAACUGGCCUCCAUUAAAUUACUUCUGAAGAUUGGAGGGGGGGGUGGAUGGUCAUGGUGGUAACGUUUGCUGUAAAUUCGCUUUGGUGAAUAUGUUAGUAUGUAUCUGUUUGGUUUUUUUUCCCUGCAAAGAAAGAUUGAGUUCUUAUUUUGCAAAGAGACGCAAACAAUAUGGGAAGAAAUGGAGUCAAUACAGGCAGUAUAUCCUGUCACAGGCAGGAUGCAGCCUGCUGAGGAAGAUGAAAAGUUGCUUUUCAGACUUCUUUUGACUUUAACAAGAGUAACUUGGUCAGUGUAUCAAAGAUGCAUUCCAGAAAACCAGUGUCUGAGUCAGUGACUUUUUUGUAAAUAACUUGAAGCUGUUGUUGAGGAAUUAGAUCACUUAUAUACACAGUGAAACAAGGACUUACAGGAGAGAGACCUCAGGAGCUUCAACAAGAAAGCCUUGACUUUUGUUUUCCCUGGGGUUGAAUUUCUCUGCCUUCUCAGGCUUCAUGUUCAGCAGAAGAAUGUACUUUGUAGAAGAAAAGCUUAUCUCUUGUGUUUUGUCCUGGGCUGAUCCUCCAGUGUUAGUGGGAGAGAUAACUUGGUUAUUGGCCAGGUAAUGUUGCCAGCUCUGCUGUGAGUACAGUUAAAAUGCUUCUUUAAUUUGCUUCAGAAAAUCAGAUAAAUAUAGCUCAGACUAUUUAAACUGCACCACACAAGUAGUUUUGCCCCAAAUGAGAUAGCUGGCACAUGAAAGUCUAUUUUCAGCUAGUCUGUGGCAGAAAUUACUCUUUUGCCUCUUUCUGAAUGCUGGGACAAGUGGUUCUAUAUACCAUAAAGCAAGAAGGCAUUACGACUGCAAAUUUUAUUUUGCUGUUUCUAAACCAAAAAUGUCCUUCCUUGAGAAAGUCCUUGCUAAACUAAAUUGCAGAAACCUGAUAGCUGUUGAUAGUUGAGUUUUUUAAACAACCAUAGGUUCUACUAUUUGCAUGCAGCAGUUUAAAUAAUGCACUUAGCAGCCAGUCUCUAUAUAAAAAAGUUGAGGUUUUUUCUGAAUAAUGUUUGUAUUUGAGCUUGCAAAAUGUUCCUGGUUUUUUAUGAGUUUGUAGAUAUUGUCUGAAUAAUUCCAAUUUUUGUUUCUACUUGUAGCAGGUUAUCUGAUGAACAAAAAUGGAAUAUAUGUUCCUUUGAGAUUACCUGGGUAAUUUUUACUGCACUUGAUGUUCUAGUGUAUCUCACACAGAUACACUUUUUCCUGAGAGGAUAGAAUUGUAGCAGUUAGGGGAGAUUGACUGAAUGACAAUAAAAUGUAAAACUGGGUCAAUUCCCCUGCUAGUGAAAAACACUUCCUUUUUUCCUUUUCCUGUGGUAUUAACUUCCCCCCUUUAAGAACUCUGCCACCCAAAUAAGUAUGCAUCAAGUAUUCAUAGAGUCUUUCAAAAUGUAUUAUUUUAAUAGUUACAUUUUUUUCCCCCCAGAUUGGCUUUCUAGGACAAGUUACUGAGAAACGCUUGCUUUCUAUAUGCCUACCAAAAACGUUGGGACUCUGCCUAUUUUUAAAUGUUUUCUUUUUCAGUAAUGAAAGAAGCACAGCAUCCCUUUCUUGCAAAAACCUAAACCACUAUUUAUCAGGAAAGGUGCUUUAUCUCUUGGAAAGUGCCGUGCCAAAUUUAUUAUGCAAGAGCUCUCAGUAAGAAUCUUUUUUUCUGGCUUCAUUGCAUUUAUAAGCAUGUAUACUUAUGUAUAUAAGUAUGGGCCAAAUUCAUUUGUAGCAUAAUUCUACUGAAUUAAAUUUUUUGAGACUUUCACAGGAGUAUUCUACCUCUAAAUAAGAAUUUGAGAAAAAAGAACAAUUGGGUAUUGAUUUGUCUUUCUCUUUCUUGCUGUUUUCUGUGAAGAAUGAUGGUAGUUAAAUUGGUACAGUUCAUAUAUUUUCUAUAAGUGUUUACAUUUUGGAUUUAUUGUUUCUUAAGUAUUUUGUUUGUAUCUCUGAGUUUUGA
RNA transcript from Catharus ustulatus (Swainson's thrush), 4941 nucleotides. It is a transcript of the gene named centrosomal protein 97, with no coding region annotated. The transcript is spliced from 12 exons. Lineage: Eukaryota; Metazoa; Chordata; Aves; Passeriformes; Turdidae. The record is from RefSeq and is a predicted model, not a curated record.